AAAAAAUUGUCAACGUAUCUCUUCCUUUUAACUGUUCAACCAGCAACGGCAGUACGGUUUGCCCCACCUUGACGACCUCCUCCCCUUCCACCUCCAUUUUGGUUAGCCCGCUGAUAACCUUCUCCAUUGCGUCCGGUCGAACCCCGGGGUCGUCCAGAGAACUCGCCCUGGUUUCUGAAUUCGUUUCUCCCAUAGCCUCUCCCACCACCAUAAUUU
Molecule: unclassified non-coding RNA, 216 nt
Filed under: Hevea brasiliensis (rubber tree)
Lineage: Eukaryota; Viridiplantae; Streptophyta; Magnoliopsida; Malpighiales; Euphorbiaceae
Source: RNAcentral